CGAAAUUUAGUAGCGAAGUAGCUGAUUUCACACUGUCAAGAAAAGUCUCUAUCGAGGUUAAAGGUACCCGUACCGCAAACCGACACAGGUGGGUGAGGAGAGUAUCCUAAGGCCAGCGAGAGAACUGUUGUUAAGGAACUCGGCAAAAUGACCCCGUAACUUAGGGAUAAGGGGUGCCACCAUCAGGUGGCCGCAGAGAAUAGGCCCAAGCGACUGUUUACCAAAAACAUAGGUUUCUGCUAAGUCGCAAGACGAUGUAUAGGAGCUGACGCCUGCCCGGUGCUGGAAGGUUAAGGGGAUCUGUUAGAGCAAUCGAAGCAGUGAACUUAAGCCCCAGUAAACGGCGGCCGUAACUAUAACGGUCCUAAGGUAGCGAAAUUCCUUGUCGGGUAAGUUCCGACCCGCACGAAAGGCGUAACGAUUUGGGCACUGUCUCAACAACAGACUCGGUGAAAUUGUAAUUCCGGUGAAGAUGCCGGAUACCUGCGACAGGACGGAAAGACCCCAUGGAGCUUUACUGUAGCUUGACAUUGGGUCUUGGUACUACAUGUACAGGAUAGGUGGGAGGCUUUGAAACCAGGACGCCAGUUUUGGCGGAGCCAUCCUUGGGAUACCACCCUUGUA
This 624-nucleotide ribosomal RNA is filed under the name Clostridioides difficile. RNAcentral's name for it is "partial 23S ribosomal RNA". It matches the Rfam family "Bacterial large subunit ribosomal RNA", at positions 1574 to 2210 of the family's 2925-position model. The record is from RNAcentral. Lineage: Bacteria; Bacillati; Bacillota; Clostridia; Peptostreptococcales; Peptostreptococcaceae.